AUACGUAGGUGGCAAGCGUUGUCCGGAAUUAUUGGGCGUAAAGCGCGCGCAGGCGGUCCUUUAAGUCUGAUGUGAAAGCCCACGGCUCAACCGUGGAGGGUCAUUGGAAACUGGGGGACUUGAGUGCAGAAGAGGGGAGCGGAAUUCCACGUGUAGCGGUGAAAUGCGUAGAGAUGUGGAGGAACACCAGUGGCGAAGGCGGCUCUCUGGUCUGUAACUGACGCUGAGGCGCGAAAGCGUGGGGAGCAAACAGGAUUAGAUACCCUGGUAGUCCACGCCGUAAACGAUGAGUGCUAAGUGUUAGAGGGGUUAAUCCCUUUAGUGCUGUAGCUAACGCAUUAAGCACUCCGCCUGGGGAGUACGCUCGCAAGAGUGAA
Molecule: ribosomal RNA, 377 nt
Filed under: uncultured bacterium
Lineage: Bacteria
Description: bacterial SSU rRNA
Rfam family: Bacterial small subunit ribosomal RNA
Source: RNAcentral